UGUGUGAGUGUGAGAGGAACCGUCAAUUGUCUCUUUCGGGUUCUUGAGCUAAGGUUCGGUUCUUUCUGAAGAACCAGACUAUGACACGUUCUUUGAUGAACUUAUUCAGGUUCUCCAAAUGACCCUGUAUUGUAAGUGUGUGUGUGUCUCACUCUCUCGCUGUGUGUUUGUCAGGCUUACGGAUGCCGUGAGAGAGCUGGAGCGUCUCAAAGCUCGUGUGGAGGACAGAGAACAGGAAGUCACAACACUCAACAGGAAACUACAGGAUCAGAGGAGUCUUGAGGAGACUGAAGUUCAUUCACUGAAGAAACACACUGCAGCACUGCAGAACACACUCAGAGACAUCACACAGGUACAACACACACACACACACACUCUCACUCACUCACUCACUCACUCACU
RNAcentral lists this long non-coding RNA (402 nucleotides) under Sinocyclocheilus grahami. Its description in RNAcentral is "lncRNA (ENSSGRG00000006421.1)". Lineage: Eukaryota; Metazoa; Chordata; Actinopteri; Cypriniformes; Cyprinidae. The record is from RNAcentral.